CCCUUUUAAUUUUUAAAUCAAAUUGAAAAUUGAUGACUAUUGAAAAUUCCAUAAGAUGCCGUUCUAAACCGAAUACAUAUCGGUAUUUUGGUAAAAUUUUCAAUUUCCGUUAACCUGAUGACAGGAUUUUCCACUUUUAAAUUAAGGUAAGGGAGAAUACUGGAGCUUCUUUUGUGUGUUAACGUGGCGCACGGCCAUGGCGUUGGGAUAGUGCUCCACUACUUCACAUUACCCAAACAUAACAAUGAAAUAUCUUGUUAAUGAGUUGAUGGAAAUUACAAGCUUCUCCACCAACAUUUAUUUUAAUUAAAUCUGUAUCUAUUUAUGGAACUUUUAAUGUAGGUCGCUAUUUAAAAAUCAAAAAUGGGCAGUGGUUUGAUUCCCAAAAGUAGAGGUUGUAACGAUAGUAACGAUAGUGUAACACUUAAGAAAUUCUUGUUUCUUAAAUUUACUAAAAAAAAAAAUUCCAAACACUAUUAAUGCUUUUCGAGACAAUGAAUGUCAUAUCGUGAAUUGGUUACUUGUAUCAUAAUAUAC
Non-coding RNA from Cinara cedri, 537 nucleotides. Lineage: Eukaryota; Metazoa; Arthropoda; Insecta; Hemiptera; Aphididae. The record is from the annotation of a GenBank genome assembly.